GCAAGCUUCAGCAAUGUCUCUCUCAAAAUUCAUCUCCUCUUUCAAUCUACUACUCUCCUUUGCUCUGCUUAUUCUCCAAGCUUAUACUGUUUUUGGAGAUGGUCCUCUCUUCCAUUUUUGUUCUAGCCCUGAAAACUUCACUUCCAAUGGCCCUUACGAGUACAACCUCAACAAGCUUGCUGGUGAUCUAUACAUCCAAACCCCACAAUCAGGUUUUGGUUUUGGUUCGUCAGGCCAGAACCCAGACCAAGCUUAUGGCCUUGCUUUGUGCAGAGGAGACGUCUCAAGCUCAGACUGCAAAACCUGUGUAGCAGAGGCAAGUGGUGAGAUCCGCAAGCGUUGUCCAUAUAACAAAGCAGCAAUCAUUUGGUAUGAUUAUUGUCUUUUUAAGUAUUCUGAUAAGAAAUUCUUUGGCCAAAUUGACAAUAGAAACAAGUUCUAUAUGUGGAACGUUAGAGUUGUAAGUGAUCCAGAUUCAUUCAACCAGAAGACUAAGGAGCUGCUGACCCAAUUGGCCAAGGAAGCCUAUGCAACCCCAAAAUUG
RNAcentral lists this unclassified non-coding RNA (544 nucleotides) under Hevea brasiliensis (rubber tree). The record is from RNAcentral. Lineage: Eukaryota; Viridiplantae; Streptophyta; Magnoliopsida; Malpighiales; Euphorbiaceae.